CUUGCUGGGGGUGGAUGAGUGGCGAACGGGUGAGUAACACGUGAGUAACCUGCCCCGAACUCUGGGAUAAGCGCUGGAAACGGCGUCUAAUACUGGAUAUGUCCUAUCACCGCAUGGUGUGUAGGUGGAAAGAAUUUUGGUUCGGGAUGGACUCGCGGCCUAUCAGCUAGAUGGUGAGGUAAUGGCUCACCAUGGCGACGACGGGUAGCCGGCCUGAGAGGGUGACCGGCCACACUGGGACUGAGACACGGCCCAGACUCCUACGGGAGGCAGCAGUGGGGAAUAUUGCACAAUGGGCGCAAGCCUGAUGCAGCAACGCCGCGUGAGGGAUGACGGCCUUCGGGUUGUAAACCUCUUUUAGUAGGGAAGAAGCGAAAGUGACGGUACCUGCAGAAAAAGCACCGGCUAACUACGUGCCAGCAGCCGCGGUAAUACGUAGGGUGCAAGCGUUGUCCGGAAUUAUUGGGCGUAAAGAGCUCGUAGGCGGCUUGUCGCGUCUGCUGUGAAAACCAGAGGCUCAACCUCUGGCCUGCAGUGGGUACGGGCAAGCUAGAGUGCGGUAGGGGAGAUUGGAAUUCCUGGUGUAGCGGUGGAAUGCGCAGAUAUCAGGAGGAACACCGAUGGCGAAGGCAGAUCUCUGGGCCGUAACUGACGCUGAGGAGCGAAAGCAUGGGGAGCGAACAGGAUUAGAUACCCUGGUAGUCCAUGCCGUAAACGUUGGGAACUAGAUGUAGGGCCUGUUCCACGGGUUCUGUGUCGUAGCUAACGCAUUAAGUUCCCCGCCUGGGGAGUACGGCCGCAAGGCUAAAACUCAAAGGAAUUGACGGGGGCCCGCACAAGCGGCGGAGCAUGCGGAUUAAUUCGAUGCAACGCGAAGAACCUUACCAAGGCUUGACAUAUACGAGAACACUGUAGAGAUACAGGACUCUUUGGACACUCGUAAACAGUGGUGCAUGGGUUGUCGUCAGCUCGUGUCGUGA
RNAcentral lists this ribosomal RNA (980 nucleotides) under Leucobacter chromiiresistens. RNAcentral describes it as "bacterial SSU rRNA". It matches the Rfam family "Bacterial small subunit ribosomal RNA", at positions 77 to 1070 of the family's 1533-position model. Lineage: Bacteria; Bacillati; Actinomycetota; Actinomycetes; Micrococcales; Microbacteriaceae. The record is from RNAcentral.